UAUGUUGUUAAUUAGUUGGAGAGUGGCGACGUGCGUCGAGCAGUGUAGCGUUAGUGAAGUGUUAGCCAGGCAGAGCGCACGACAAGCUGUCCAGCACACCAGAUCAUUAUAAACAACUAAAAGAGUGCAUUAUAAGUGAAGGAUUUAACGUGGAGCGUUUGCUUUGCUGCAUCAGGACGUUGUCAAGAAUUUGAUUUGAUGUUGACAGAGAUGAAGGUUUGACCGAUUUCACGUCAAGCACAGGAGGCCUACCACAAAUGCUGGAGAGUGCCGUCAAAUCCAGCAGUGAAGAUGAACAUCUAAGGGGACUCCCACAAUGGCUUGAGUACUAAUGCUGCUCAGAUAUGCUGUGUGUAUGGAAAGACUGAGGAGUUGAAAGCUGAUUCUACCCUGGAAAGGAGUAAUUUUCUCUUUUAGAGGGGAUGGAAGACCAAGCAGAUACUAUAUUAAAAAGUGCUACACAAUGAUGGUUGUUCUUGCAUAUCUUCUGCCACCGUUGCCUGGAAGUCGAUGCAAUGUUAAAUCUGAAAUUUCAUUUUUCAAUUUAAUUUUGUACCACGUGGAGCCACUAUUGCAUCCCUCUGCAGCAGUUUUGAGACCGCAUCAAAGACCAGACCACAGCCAAUCUACAUUGGAAGUUUGAAGAGCACAACAUGACAGUACAUCAUUACGAGGAUUGACAGAGUAACCAUUCCUGUGGAUGAGGGCCUGAUGUGCUGUGGACAAUAUAUUCUAGGUGUGAAACUUGUCCUGUCCACCACAGAUUAGUUUGGUCUUUUCUUUCUAAGACUGGAGCAUCUAAUAUUGAAACACCACAUUCACUCUGUCAAUAUCUUGGAUGGCAUUGGGUGAGUAAAUUAUUAGGAAAUUUUCUUUUUGGGGUGAACUAAUCCUUUAAGCAUACAAUGAACACUCACAGUAGCUUUUAGUCAAUAUAAAGCGUUAUGUUAUCUUAUGUUAUGUUCUUACACUGCAGUAAGUAAUGCAUUCAUAAAGUGAUUCUCUAUUAAAGUUGUUUAAAUGUGAAAAACUUUGUUUAUUAAAGUUUAUUGCAAACGAA
Molecule: long non-coding RNA, 1060 nt
Organism: Megalobrama amblycephala (Wuchang bream)
Lineage: Eukaryota; Metazoa; Chordata; Actinopteri; Cypriniformes; Xenocyprididae
Exons: 6
Source: RefSeq, a predicted model, not a curated record